CACAAUCAUCUCCAGGUUAUAGCCCAUCAUCCCCUGGAUACAGCCCCUCAUCCCCUGGUUACAGCCCCACUUCUCCAGGUUACAGCCCUACAUCCCCUGGUUACAGCCCCACUUCCCCUGGUUAUAGUCCAACUUCUCCUACUUAUAGUCCCAGUUCUCCUGGAUAUAGCCCAACUAGUCCUGCUUAUUCUCCAACUAGUCCUUCAUACUCACCCACUUCUCCCAGCUACAGCCCCACAUCUCCCAGUUAUAGCCCAACAUCUCCAAGUUAUAGUCCUACUUCUCCCAGUUAUAGUCCGACCUCUCCGAGUUAUAGCCCCACCUCCCCAGCAUACAGCCCGACCUCCCCAGCAUACAGCCCGACCUCCCCAUCUUAUAGCCCCACAUCACCUUCUUACAGCCCUACCUCACCUUCUUAUAGCCCUACCUCACCUUCUUAUAGCCCAACCUCACCCUCUUACAGUCCAACCUCUCCAUCAUACAGUCCCACAUCACCUGCAUAUAGUCCAACUUCUCCGGGUUACAGCCCCACCUCCCCAAGUUAUAGCCCUACCUCACCGAGCUAUAGUCCCACGUCUCCUAGCUACAAUCCCUCGGCAAGGUACAGCCCUUCACUUGCAUACUCCCCAACUAGUCCGAAGCUGUCACCUUCAAGCCCAUACAGUCCUUC
Molecule: long non-coding RNA, 670 nt
Filed under: Coffea arabica (coffee)
Lineage: Eukaryota; Viridiplantae; Streptophyta; Magnoliopsida; Gentianales; Rubiaceae
Description: long non-coding RNA (CARA_LNC005221)
Source: RNAcentral